Non-coding RNA from Vitis vinifera (wine grape), 141 nucleotides. NCBI's taxonomy places the organism in Eukaryota, Viridiplantae, Streptophyta, Magnoliopsida, Vitales, Vitaceae. The record is from RefSeq and is marked provisional.
UAAUUUAUUUGUCGAAUAGACUCUUCGGUUUGCUUCUUUGAUAGAUUCAGUGAUAUGUCAUGUAAUUUUGUUCAAAAUUAAGGACAUUUAUUUACUGUGUCUGUCGGAGAAGCAAGUCGGAGAGUCUCUUCAGAUGAAUUG